AUAGAUUCGAUGACAAGAAUAAGUAGACGGAAAUUUCUGAACCUCACCAGAGAGCUGGAUCCAGGUGUAAGCCGGCAGGCAGAAUUCCAGCCGAAGUCCUCUUGAAGAAGCCUUCUGAACUGACAGUAAGAAGUGCCGGACGCUGAUCCCGUUAAAGACACAGCCCAUUGACAGAUGGGAAAAGAGCCGGAGUUUUCCGGAAUCAAGGUGGUACCGCGGUCAAGCCGUCCUUUGU
RNAcentral lists this non-coding RNA (235 nucleotides) under Holdemania filiformis. RNAcentral describes it as "T-box sequence". It matches the Rfam family "T-box leader". Rfam says of the family: Uncharged tRNA acts as the effector for transcription antitermination of genes in the T-box leader family. T-boxes are found upstream of many aminoacyl-tRNA synthetase genes and some amino acid biosynthetic genes usually in Gram-positive bacteria. The record is from RNAcentral. Lineage: Bacteria; Bacillati; Bacillota; Erysipelotrichia; Erysipelotrichales; Erysipelotrichaceae.